CGUGUAGGCGGCCAGGUAAGUCAGAUGUGAAAGUCCCGGGCUCAACUCGGGAAGUGCAUUUGAAACUGCUUGGCUUGAGUAAGAGAGAGGAAAGUGGAAUUCCUGGUGUAGAGGUGAAAUUCGUAGAUAUCAGGAGGAACACCGGUGGCGAAGGCGGCUUUCUGGCUCUAUACUGACGCUGAGACGCGAAAGCGUGGGUAGCAAACGGGAUUAGAUACCCUGGUAGUCC
This 229-nucleotide ribosomal RNA is filed under the name uncultured bacterium. Its description in RNAcentral is "partial 16S ribosomal RNA". It matches the Rfam family "Bacterial small subunit ribosomal RNA", at positions 568 to 796 of the family's 1533-position model. The record is from RNAcentral.